GGCACGGGGAUUUGCGAUCUCCCCGCGAGGCGACAUGCCCAAGUAUCGCGUCCUGAUCACCAAGGACGCUGCAUG
Molecule: non-coding RNA, 75 nt
Organism: Bradyrhizobium sp. LTSP849
Lineage: Bacteria; Pseudomonadati; Pseudomonadota; Alphaproteobacteria; Hyphomicrobiales; Nitrobacteraceae
Source: Rfam